UACGUAGGGUGCGAGCGUUAAUCGGAAUUACUGGGCGUAAAGCGUGCGCAGGCGGUUUUUUAAGCCAGGGGUGAAAUCCCCGGGCUCAACCUGGGAAUGGCAUUUGGGACUGCAAGGCUGGAGUGCGGCAGAGGAGACUGGAAUUCCUGGUGUAGCAGUGAAAUGCGUAGAUAUCAGGAGGAAUACCGAUGGCGAAGGCAGGUCUCUGGGCUGACACUGACGCUCAUGCACGAAAGCGUGGGGAGCAAACAGG
This 253-nucleotide ribosomal RNA is filed under the name uncultured bacterium. RNAcentral describes it as "partial 16S ribosomal RNA". It matches the Rfam family "Bacterial small subunit ribosomal RNA", at positions 524 to 776 of the family's 1533-position model. The record is from RNAcentral.